This 497-nucleotide ribosomal RNA is filed under the name uncultured bacterium. RNAcentral describes it as "partial 16S ribosomal RNA". It matches the Rfam family "Bacterial small subunit ribosomal RNA", at positions 28 to 507 of the family's 1533-position model. The record is from RNAcentral.
GAUGAACGCUGGCGGCGUGCCUAAUACAUGCAAGUCGAGCGAACCGAUAAGGAGCUUGCUCCUUUGAGGUUAACGGCGGACAGCUGAGUUACACGUGGAUAACCUACCUAUAAGACUGGGAUAACUUCGGGAAACCGGAGAUAAUACCGGAUAACAUAUGGAACGGCAUGGUUCAAGAGGGAAAAGCGGGUUUGCUGUCACUUAGAGAUGGAACCGCGCCUUAUUUGCUAGUUGGUAAGGGAACGGCAUACCAAGUGAACGGUACUUAACGGCCAUGAGAGGGAGAUCGGCCACAUUGGCAGAGAGAAUGAGCACAGACUCCUAGAGGAGGCAGCAGUAGGGACUCUUACGCGAUGGGGGAAAGCCUGAUGGAGCACCGCCGCGUCAGUGAUGAAGGUCUUCGGCUGGUAAAACUCUGUUAUCAGGAAAGAACAAAUGUGUAAGUAACUAUGAACAUCUUGACGGUACCUGAUCAGAAAGCCACGGCUAACUACGUG